ACGGGAGGCAGCAGUGGGGAAUAUUGCACAAUGGGGGAAACCCUGAUGCAGCGACGCCGCGUGAGUGAUGAAGUAUUUCGGUAUGUAAAGCUCUAUCAGCAGGGAAGAUAAUGACGGUACCUGACUAAGAAGCACCGGCUAAAUACGUGCCAGCAGCCGCGGUAAUACGUAUGGUGCAAGCGUUAUCCGGAUUUAUUGGGUUUAAAGGGUGCGUAGGCGGGAAGUCAAGUCAGCCGUAAAAUCGCCGGGCUCAACCCGGUCCCGCGGUUGAAACUGUCUUCCUUGAGUACACUAGAGGGCGAUGGAAUUCGUGGUGUAGCGGUGAAAUGCAUAGAUAUCACGAAGAACUCCGAUUGCGUAGGCAGUCGCCUGGGGUGCCACUGACGCUGAGGCACGAAGGUGCGGGUAUCAAACAGGAUUAGAUACCCUGGUA
This 433-nucleotide ribosomal RNA is filed under the name uncultured Lachnospiraceae bacterium. Its description in RNAcentral is "partial 16S ribosomal RNA". It matches the Rfam family "Bacterial small subunit ribosomal RNA", at positions 341 to 792 of the family's 1533-position model. Lineage: Bacteria; Bacillati; Bacillota; Clostridia; Lachnospirales; Lachnospiraceae. The record is from RNAcentral.